RNAcentral lists this ribosomal RNA (514 nucleotides) under uncultured bacterium. RNAcentral describes it as "bacterial SSU rRNA". It matches the Rfam family "Bacterial small subunit ribosomal RNA", at positions 15 to 518 of the family's 1533-position model. The record is from RNAcentral.
GAUUAUGGCUCAGGAUGAACGCUAGCUACAGGCUUAACACAUGCAAGUCGAGGGGCAGCAUGAUCGAAGCUUGCUUUGAUUGAUGGCGACCGGCGCACGGGUGAGUAACGCGUAUCCAACCUUCCCCAUAGUAGAGAAUAGCCCGGCGAAAGUCGGAUUAAUGCUCUAUGUUGUAUCAUGAGGACAUCUGAAUAAUACCAAAGGUUCACCGCUAUGGGAUGGGGAUGCGUCUGAUUAGGUUGUUGGCGGGGUAACGGCCCACCAAGCCCACGAUCAGUAGGGGUUCUGAGAGGAAGGUCCCCCACAUUGGAACUGAGACACGGUCCAAACUCCUACGGGAGGCAGCAGUGAGGAAUAUUGGUCAAUGGACGGAAGUCUGAACCAGCCAAGUAGCGUGCAGGAUGACGGCCCUAUGGGUUGUAAACUGCUUUUAUACAGGGAUAAAGUGAGGGACGUGUCCCUUUUUGUAGGUACUGUAUGAAUAAGGACCGGCUAAUUCCGUGCCAGCAGCCGC